UGUGUCCGACUCGGCAGCAGUGGUGUGUGUUUACUGCCAAGUGCGAAGCAGUUACCCUUGGGGCGUCGGGGGUGGGGAGGGGUUGGAGACUGGGACGGAAGAACGGGGAAAGGCGGGGCCGGCGGCCGCGCCAGGAGCUAGCGUAGCUUCUGCCGUUAGGGCACCCUCCUUCCUUACUAAACACCGACUCUCCCGUCAGCCUCCAUGUGGUGUUGUGUGUGCGCUUCCCAGUUUUCCUGAGAGUGAAGAUCUCGAAGGAUUUCAUAGGUAUUUUUUUUCUUUGCUAUGUCAUCGUAGUCAGUGGUGGCAGAAAAGCGCUGAAGGCCCGGCUCGUUAGGCGUGAGAGUGGCCAAAGUGUUUGAGUUAGGUAUGGGGCAGUUCACCCUGUGGCGAGUUAGGGUGGAAUGUUUGCCCUUGGGACGGCGUAACGGAAAGGCACGGAGGUUGGGCGGUCCAGGUUAAUUUGAAGGCUGAUUUUGGCUGAAGGUCUGGCGACAGCAUCGGAUCCCACGUAGCAACUUUGGCCUGGCGCAAAAGAAGGAAGCUCUAACCCUUGGGAGUCUGGACAAAGGCUUUGGGCUAUAGAAGCGAUUCCUUCGGAUGAUCCCCAUUUGAGGAUGAUGGAUGUUAUGGGAAAUCCUGUGCCCUGUGGAUUCGUCUUCAUUUACAGUUCCUAUUAACGACUAUGGCUCUGUCGUCAUGCCUUUGGUUUUUAUUUUAACCAUCUACAUUAUAAAAGGAUAAAAGGCAGAUCUUCAUAAAGAAUAAUUGUGGACCGGGCUAGAUUAUUUUCUGCAAGGGAAACUCAUGCAUUUAGAAUUUCAUCAUAACUUUGGGUUUUAAGGAAUAGUCAUUUCCCCCCACCGUAUCUGGAGAAUGACUUGUUACUCUCUAGUUAAAAUCAGAUGGACCUGAGAUAAUACCUAUUUAAUAGUCUCGUUUCCCUAUCAGGCUUGAUUAGAAGAUGCACAUUUCGUAUUGUUUAGUAAUGGUGAUCAAGUGUGAUGAAUCCUGGAUAAAAUCAAAAUUACUUAAAAUGAACUUAAUUUCAAGCUUUUCAGGACUCACUUCAUCUUUUCAUAGGUUAGAAGUUCUAACAUCACUGUCUUUAAAUCAACACAGUCGCAAAAAUACUUCUGUUACAUUCAUAAGUAGAAACAAUUCUAAGUGCAGUGUACUUUAGGGUAUUUUGUGUGUUUCUAUUUUUGUGUUAUGUUCUAAGAGUAGAAUUUCUGGUGAAUUUGCUUAAGGAAAUGACCUAUGGGAACCAUAGGAAAAGUGCUCAUUUUGAGAACUGGUCUCUUACAGAUGGCCUCCUAGGUGUGUCAUUGUUGAGGGAUAAAAUGGUACGUUACCCUACCAGCUAAAAGGGAAAAAAGUUAAUUGUUAGCUUUAUGUGGCAAAUUAGACAAAAUAUUUUGUCUGCUUGGAUUGGAACUCAUGAGAUUUGUACUCCUGGAACUAUUUAGUUCAAAUAUUGUUUUUAAGCUGAGGAUAAACUAGAAAUUUUUUGAAUUUGACAUGUUAUUCCUUGAAACGUCCCUAUGUAGCUUGUCGAUAUAUUUAUGUUCUCAGGGCAUAUCCCUUUUUAAGUUUUUUAAAAAGUUGAGGAUAGACAAAAUGGCAUGUAUCUUACUUGCUUUGGAGCUAAGUUAAUUUGUAUAGGAAGGAAUCUUGGAACUUUAAUGUGGACAACUAGUACAGAAGCCAUUUAUAUAGUUUUUUAAAAGUUGGUGUGGAUAUUGGUUUGUUGAAGGAACCAGGUUUGUACUCAUUUUUAUUUUUGGUACUGUGGAUUUUUCAUAAACGAUUUUUUUAGGGCAGUUUUUUUAGGUUUACAGCAAUAUUGAGCAGAAGAUGCAGAGAUUUCCUAUAUACCCCCUGCCCGCGCCCAUGUACUUUGUAAAUAUUUUAAUAGUAUUAAUAGUCAAUAUUUUAAGUAUCAAUUUGGCAUUGAUAAUUCAGAUGUAGAAUAUGGCCAGUAAUUUAGUUGUUAGUUAAAAAGUAAUCAGUGGACCCUUUCCAAAGGAAAAUAAGCCUUGCAGACCUCAAAGAAUAUGUCUUCCAACCACACUUUGUGGAAGAGUGGUACUUAAGUGUAAGUACUGAAUUAAAGCAACAUUUCUUUGCACAUUAAAAACAUAAGUGUAUAAUUAUUAAUUUAGCAACUCUUAUUUGAUAAGAUUACAUUAAAUGUUGUAACUUUGAGUAUCUCUGAAAAUAUUAGAUAUAAAUUUCCUUAAGGAAAUAAUAAGAUUUCUCAGCAGUUAAUACUGAUAAUCCCUAAACAUUCUAAAUAAAUGUGUUUUUAUUUUCUUUAUUGUCAUUUGGGUUUUCUCAGUGCAGGACAGCUUAAAAUGGAAUAAACUUGUUAGCAUAAUAAGAUUCUUGUUUGAACAUUUUCUGUUUGGCUUAGGAUGAAUUUAGUAGUAAUUGUUUUAGGAGUUUAAGAUAAGGAUUAGUAGCAGAGAUUUUUUAUUUUAGGGGUAUUUUAGUGUUUGCCUUAAUUAUAUUAGAAUCAGGAAAUUUAAUUCCCUGUUUGGAAGUGGGAGCUAUAUGUGUAUAACUUAAAAUUUGUAUUCAAAUGGGUAGCCAUGGGUUUGAAUUUAUUACUUUAAAAAUUGGUUUUUGAAUCCAAAACAUUAGUAUUUUGUUCAUUUAUUGUAUCAUUUUGAAUGGUUGCCUUUUUAGUUUGAUUUGGUCUUAUAUUUUAAAAGGGAGGAAAACUGCAAGAGAGUUGGACAUAAGGAGCUAGGUGUUUGGUUUUCUCAUGAGUGGAAGUGACAGAAGUUUUUUUGGGAACUUUUGAUGUGUUUAAAUUGACCUUUUACUUGUAGAACACUUGUCUUUUUUUUUUUUUUUUUAAGUGGAUGUAAAAUUUAUAUACAGUGAAAUGCACAGACUUUAAGGAUAGUAUUCAUUUGAUAAGUUUAUACUCCCAUGUAGCCAACACUCUAAUCAAAAUGUAUAACACUUUCAUCACCGCUUUGUUCUUGCCACUUCCAAUCAAGGAGCUAUUUAAUUUCCAGAAGAUUUUUGUUUUUAAAUAAUUUGCAGAUGUCUACUUGGAAUUUGUACUUCGUUUUUGCUGAAGGAUGAUUAAUUUCCCCUUGGAACAAAGAAGACCAUUUUGUAAUGUCCAUAGUUGUGGUUCCGUAUAUUGCUUCACUUUUAAUAGGUAAUUCUGAAGGGAAUAUCCUAAUCUGGCGUGUUUAAGAUCAAUUACAGGGUCCAAGGAUUAAUUAUAUUUCAUUUUCUUUCCACAGUUAAGUUGCUUUUACAGAAUUAACAGGUCUCCAAGAAAUUUUAAAAAGAUCUCUUCUAGGAGUGAGUCUCAAGAUGCUCUGAAGUGAUUGCACAGAGGUGAUCUUUUGAAGGGGAAAAUGAGCCUGACAAUGCUUUUUUAUGUGAAGAACAAAUAAGGUAAGAUGGUUUGUGAUAUAACUAGAUGCCUAACUGCAAAAAAAAUUAGCUGUUGCCAGAAUAAGUCUCAGCAGUCUUUGUAAAGCAUGAAGUAUUUAAGAAGAAUAGCAAGUUAUUUCUCUGUCCCUGUCUACAUAUUUUCUCUACUUGUUCCCAAGAAAUCCUGUAUGCAAAAGAUUCUUUUUCUUUUUGGUACCAGUUUCAUAGAAUUUUACUUUCCCUGGUCCCACAACUCUCCCUAGUCUGCUUCCUUCUCUCCACAAUUGCUGUGUGGCAGAACACUAACGGCUUCUGCCUAUAGUUCGUUACACCUCAGGACCUUUGUGUAUCUGUGUCCUUUGCCCUACAGGUGUUGCCAGGCAUCCUACGCGUCCCUCAGACUUCUAAUUAAGAAACCAUUCUUUGAUUCGCCAGACUAUUUAGAAUCCUCACAGCACACUAUAUUUUUUCUUUACAGGACUGGUCACAUUAUAAAACUUAAAACAGUUACACAGUACAGGCAUACUUCAUUUUAUUGCAGUUCAUUGUGCUUCACAGAGACUCUUACAACUUAAGGGUUUUGUGGCAAUGCUGCUUCAAGCAAGUCUGUCAGUGCCAUGUUUCCAACAGCAUUUGCUCACUUCGUGUCUCUGUGUCACAUUUUGGUAAUUAUUAACAAUAUUUUAAACUUUUUCAUUAUUAUUACCUGUCUUAAGGUGACCUGUGAUCAGUGAUUAUGACUCACUGGAAGCUCGGGUGAUGGUUAGCAUUUUUUUAGCAAUAAUAUAUUUUCUUUAUGUACACCUUUUUGCUUUUUGGAUCUAAUGCUGUUGCACACUUAAUGGACUAUAGUAUAUAACACUGUAUGUUAACUGUGCUGGAAUUAAAAUAAAAGACUUAAAAAAGUAGACUACAGUAUAGCGUAAACAUAACUUUGAUGUGCACUGGCAAACCUUAAAAUUCAUUUGACUUGCUUUAUUGUGAUGUUCCUUUUGUUGCACAGGUCUGGAAUGCUAUAAUAUCUCUGAGGUAUGCCUGUAUAUUUUUUAAAUGUCUGAACUCUAUGGUAGAUUUUUAAAUCUUUGCUUUGACAACUCAGACCUUUUCUAACUUAUAAUACUAAAUCUUCAGAGUGAUGCCUGGCAUAUAACAGGUGCUCAAUAAACAGUUGUUGAAUGAACAUUUUAUGAGGUAAAUACUAGAUCUCCAUUUGAGAGAUAAGGAAGCUGAAGAAUGAAAAACUUGCUCAAUAUUACCCCAUUAGAAAGUAGGAACGUUGAUACCCAAAAACAUAUCUACCACACAGCUCUGAGAUCCUGGGUGUUUUAUGAAUCUCUCCUCCCACGAGCUAUUUAGCUAACUGAUUAAGAAUACUGGUAAGGGAAGUGGUGUGACAGAAUAAACUAGCUAGGACCUCUGGAAUGAGAAAGAAAAUCUUGGGGUUCAAAGAGAUUGAAGGAACUUUAGUGACAGUUAACAAAUGGCAUGUCAGAGGCAUUAGAAAAAGGAGAAUGAAGAUACUUCUAAACAGGACUCCAGUCUUCUAGGAAAACUAAGGGAUCAGUUUUGAACCUACCACUCAGUGCAGUGUUUUUCUUGUAGGGAAUGGUGCCUAUCACACUCAUCAAGAACCACACUAAUCACAGUAUAGAGAGGAUAAAAACAGUGUCUGUAGUCAGGACUUUUGGGUUUGGCUUCCAGCAUUAUUAGUUAUGGGACCCUCUGGGAAGUUUCUUAAUCUACUUCUGCCUCAGUUUCCUCUUCCAUAGAAAGGAGGACAAUAAAUACUUUUGUCAAAGUUGAUGGGAGGAUUAAAAUAUAAUUAAAAUGCAUAGAUCAGUAGCUGUCCAAAGUAAUUGCUAUAUAUAAACAUUUGCUAUUAUUUUACAAAUGACAGAUAAAAGCUUGAUCUGUUUUUUAAAAGAUAGGACAUGAAAGGAGUGAAAAUUAAGAAACCUUAGCUAUAGUACUUGGAAGGAAGGGAAACUUAGGAAGCCAUCUAUUGAUAGACAAUAAAUAGAAAUAUCACGUGUGCAUAACUGAUAUAAAACUAAGAUGAGAUUUUGACAUUGGAAAACAUAUGUACACAUAUUAAAACAUGUAUCCUUCUUCAUUUUAGUCAAACUGUAAUCUGAUUUUAUGAAUUAAAUUUCUUGGAACCAGUGGAGUAGUGGGAAGAGAAGGCCCAGGUGAACUCUUUAUGGAUAGUUAGUUAAUAAAUAAACAACUGGGGGAAUCUUCAAAAUUGUCAACUGGCAGAUACUCCCAAAUUCUAUCACUCAUUAAUAGACAAUUCUGGUUAUAUCUUGAGAUUAUCUGGUCUUUUUCACUUCUACUAUAGAGAUAAUAUGGACAAAGUCUGUGUGUAAUAUUUUAUCUAUUUCAGCAAAAAUACUUUUGUGCCUUUACUCCUCCCUUUAAAAGGUAAGAGGGUUGGACAGUUACUCUUCAGAUGUGCUUGUUGAAGCCAGGCUGUGAUAUUUAGAUGCUCUAACAUUAGUUGGCUACUUGCAUUUGCAUCUAACUAUCAGUACAAAGCAAGCCUUAUUAUAAACCUACACUUACUUCAUAGCAUACUGAUUAAAUCACACAAAACUGGUGAGAAUUCUGAUUCUGCUGUUUACUAGCUAAGUGGCUGUGGUCAAGUUAAGUUACUUAAAGCCUCUAAACCUGUUUCUGUAGUUAUAAGAUGUGAAAAACCACAGCACCUACUUCAUAGGAUUCUGAGCAGUGAAUGAGAAAAUGCAUGUGAAGCUUUGGGUAUUCUGCACAGCAUAAGCAAUCAAAUGUUAGCACUAAUCAAUGUGAUGGUUAGCACACUUAAGUGACUUACAUCACCAGUCAAAAUGAUACAGUAUUUCAUGUAAUGGCCUUAUUAACUAGCUGUUAAUAAAUUAACUCUUGGAACUUUACCAUGGUGAAUUUGUUAAGUUAAAAAUACAUAAUGAGAAAAUCAUAAAAGUUGAGCUAUUUGGGACUGCACACAGUAACAUGAGCCAUUGUAGUAUUCAAACUUAAGAUAUUUUUACCCAUACAGAUUAAUGCUUUCUUUUAAAUAUUUCCAUCUUAAGAGAAGAACUUAACUUAGAUAGAUAUAGUCCUACCUCCAAAUCUUCUUCUUCAUCAAUCUUUUGUAUGUUUUGGUAGGCAGCAGUAUAGACCUCUAAAGCCUUGCCAUGAAAUAACAUUUCAAUAGUGAUAAAUUCUGAAAAUAUAGUCUAAAAAAAAAAAAACCACAAAGAUUUGAAUUUAAACAAUCAUAUGAAUUUGUGAAUUUAGUAAAUUUAUUCCUUAUUAUUGUUUUUGUAUUUUAUGAAAUACAGAGGUAUCUCUUUUUCCACAGGGCACAUCAAGUAUGAAAGAUAAUGGGAAUAAAAAUAGUUGAAAAGACUGUAGCACAACGUUGAAAUUAUAUAAAAUAUUUCUUAUCCCACCAUUUAAUUUCCUCCUAUUUUUUAAUAAGUCAGUUCUUUGUAUACCUUGUAAUUGAUAUUUGUGAUAAAAAAAAGAUCUGACUAAAAUGUAUAUCAUAUGUACUCUGUUACCAUAUGUCUCUAAAUAUUAGAUAAAGGAGGUCAGUUCUAAACCUGAUAUUUUAGUAACUCCAACUGAUGUUGAAACAAUAGUAUGUCUUUUUAGACAGGAAUUCUAUCCCAUCAUAUUUCUAUGUGUUACUUGUAUUCUCUAGCCACAAAGGACUUACUUGGUAAUUAUAUUGCUACUACUGAUAAUAGCACCAUGGAUUUGCAUAGAGCUUUUCCAGUUUACGAAUACGUGACUUGCCUCCUGUUGCUCAUAGCUAGAAUGUUGUGACUUGGGUCUGAUUCUUCGAAGGUUAUAGCUCUUGCUUAUUGUACUGUGCUCUUCUUGCUGGAAUCCAUCAUUUCCUUCCCAAAUAAACUGUGCAUCUAUGGAGCAUGAUGACAGCUUACAACAAGGAAGAUAAUGAGCUAAGAGAAUGAAUGGAGAUGUGCAUGUUGAUUUAAGCAGGGUGAGAUAAUCGGUAGGUAAGGAAAGGAUACAAACCAGAAAAGUUUUCAAUAAAAUAGGAUCUUAUCCUUUUGUUAAUUAUUUUGUCUCUUAUCAAAAUAAAAAAAUCAGAGCAUUAAUAUAGAGAGGAGUGGACAGAAUAAGAAUAAGGUAGAAAGUACCAAAGCAUUGUCCUUAAGGGGCAAGAGAAAAGAGAUGGGCUACAACAGACAAGAGUCAAAUACCCAUUUCCCUUUGUUGCUGCUCUCCUGUGUUAGUCAUCAAAUAGGAGUGGCCCUGCACUUUGGAAGACAGUGUUAUAGGUAUCCCUUAGUGUCCUGUGAUUUUUUUUUUUUUCUCCUUCAUGUCCAUUCUUUCUUCCUUAAGAAUAUUUAAGGGAGUACUGAUAGGCUUCUGAUUACUACUCAGUGGAAACAGAUCAGUAGUUGAAAGUAUCCCUUCUGGCCUAAAAAGACUGGGCUCUGGGACAAGACACAAGUAUGACUAACAGUGACCCUUACUGUCACUUCAUAUAGGUCACAGACGGUUCUGGUAUACUGGAAUGGCAACUGACUAAUAAGCAGUAUUAUGACCAAGAAUCUUUAGACCAAGAAUGAAGUCGCUUUUGAUUAAGACUGGCACUUAUUCACUUAGUUGUCCGUCUUCCUAAGAUAGCAGUCUAGCUAGAAAGGAGUCAAGUGCCCUUAGGAGUGUGAAAACUCCAAGAGGGAAAACAGCAGAACCAGAAGUCAAUGAUAUGCCAAAAUACUUAAGAUUCCUACUUGGUUCUUGGUCUGCAGCGCAUUUUAGGCAAUGGGAAUAACCAAGCAGAGGUUUACAACUUUCCUUCUGAAUCUUAAAUUUAGAGAUUUUCUACAUUUACUAAAUAAAGAACUACGUAAAAAAUAUAGACAUAGCUUGACUUUCUUUUUAUUCAAGGCUGUUACAGAAAUUUGUUUUCAUUUAUUUAGGUUUAAUGUUUCAGCUAAGUACAGUAGAGAAUCAACAUUUUACAAUGUUACACAGUGCACUCUCUUUUUUAGUUUUUCUUUUUUGGGUAUUUAUAAACCAUCUGUUUACUUACGUGGAUCUAUUAUGUGGAGAGAGAAGAUAAGGUAUUUGCUUUAUGCGAUAAAAGUACUUGAGAAAUAAAGUAGCCUCAAAUAAGGGAAUUAAGCUUAAUCAGUCAAGUGAGUUAGGUAUUACUCCUAUUUUUAAAUAUUUCUACAAAUGGACAUUCUAAAUCUUUAUAAUAGACUGUCACACUAUUUAAUAACUAGUGAAAUCCAAAUACUUACAACCUUAUUACACCUAAAUCAGUAGAUUAGGCUUAAUUCAAAUCUAUUCCACUGUGGUAACUUUGUGGAAUAUGCAAACAUUUCAAAAUAAUUUAAAACAUUUUUCAAGUAUUUGAAUAUAGUUAUUAAAUUUCUGAUGGUCAGAAUCUCUGAAUGUGUCAUCUCUGAACUAACAAUUUUUUAAUACUAGCAUUUUAUAGGAUUUACAUUACCCUUAGCUCAUAAGUGAGCCCUGAAAAAUAUGUAGAUACGUCUUUCCAGUCUCAAUUUAGUUUCAAUUAAUGAUAAGUACUUUGAAAAUUCUCUUUAAUCUAUAAAUGGCUAUUAUUUACUAUGUGGAAGGUGGGGGGGAGGGAAUCACUCUCAGGUUUUGUGAUACUUUGGUUUAAUCCUUUAUGGUUUGAACUUUUAUUUCUUGGCAAAACCUAUAUUGUAACACCUAAAUAAGACGAGACUGGCCCUACUGAUUUUUUAUACUGUUUAUUUUUCUGUCAAAAACCAUAAUGGGAAAUCAGAAGUACUGGUAAUCUAGUAUCCCAGACUUGGAAUUUUUGACCUAAGAGUUAUGAAGCCUAAAGAUAUCAUAAAGAGUUAUAUCCCUGAGUAUAGCGAGGAGGGAAUACUGCCAAUUAAUUAUACUCUUUUUUUUUUCUAGUUAGAAUUUCACAAAACAUCUGAAGAUAGGCAGAAGGAAGGAGAAUAAUAGCAAGGAACAGAAAAGUUAGGUGACACCUAGUAUAAGAAGAACAUAAAAAGCAUGUUUUUGAAAUUAAAUAGUUUCAGUGAAUCACCAGAAGGGUGGUGGAACUUUUUAGGACCCAAUCAUAUUUAGAAAUAAUUUUCCCCAAAUAAAUUUAGCCUAACUUUUCAGUGAUCUCAUGUAAUCUUAUCUGCAGUGGGUGAGUAUCAUCAGGGACAGACGCAUUAAUGAGUUAUCUUUUUUUCCCCUUUUCAAUUUUAUUUUGUAUGACUAGAGGGUAAUUUGGGCAUGUACUUAAUUUUUACUGAUAGGAGAUGGGGGAACUAAUCUGAAAUUCUCUAUUGACAAGUAUUCUGUAAAGCAGGAUAGUAUAUAGGAGUUAAGAUUAUGGGCUCUGGAUUAAGAUAAAUCUGGGUUCCAAUCAUGAUCGAACAUAACAGUUAUAUAAUAUUAAGCAGUUUAUCUGUACUUUUCCUUAAUUUUUCUCAUCUGUACAAUGGGGGAUAAGAACAGUAUCAAACUCAUAAGUUUGGGGGUUAAGGAUUAAAUGAGAAAAUCCAAGAAAAGGUAUAGUAUGGUGACUGACUUAGAGUAAGUGCUCAACACAAGUUAGCUAUUUUUAUCACUCAAGAAGUAAACUUGCUAAGUUAGAAAAUGUUCCUUAUGUUAAUAUUAAAGCCUCUACCUGGUUUAAUUAGCAAGCAACACUUUUAACAAAAAAGUCAUGAAAGGUCUGACUAAUAACAUUUUGGCAAAUAAAGGGGAAAUAAUGACUCCAGAGUAGAGGCUAUUCAAUAAGUGAUGCCAGGAGAACUUUUAUCUACUUGAAAAGAAUAAAGCUAGGUAUCUACCUUAUACCAUAUGCAAAACACAACUGCCAGAUAAAAUGUUUAAAUAUUUAAAAUAUUUUUAAAACUUACAACUACUACAAGAAAAUAUAAGCAAGUAUUUACAAUCUUGAGGAUGAAAACAACCUUUCAAACAUGACACCAAGUAUGAAACCAAAAAAGAGACCAACAGAUCUGGCAACAAACAUAAAACUUUAUGGCACAAACACACCAUAAACAACAAAAUGGGAAAAUACAUUUGUGACAUUCUCUUCAAUAUAAAAGGUUAAUUCUCUCAAUAUAAGGAUUUUUUACAAAUUAAUAAGCAAACUGCCAACACUCAAUAAAAAUACAGGCUAAGGACAAGUGUGGGUAAUUUACUAAAGAAGAAAUAAAUGUAUUAUUAAAUAUAUGAAAAAAUAUUGUCUUAAUAGUAGUAAGUGCAACUUAAGAUUACACUGAUUUUUUUCACCUAUCAGACUAAUUAUUAAAAAGACUACUACUCAUCAUUGGUAUAUUGGGUUACUCAUGCAGGUUUUAUAGAAAUGUAAACCAGUUAAAACUUUGUGGGCAGGAGUUUAAAAGCUUUGUGGACAGAAAGUAUCAAAAUUUAAAGGGUGUAUGCUCUUUGAAUCAGAAAUACCACUCUGUUAAUUUAUCCCAAAAGAACAACUGGAUCAGCAAAAAGCCGAAUGUUUAAUGAUGCAUUGAGAUCUAUACCUGCAAAAAUAAUGUUGAUAACACCAAAAAGGACUGGUUAGACAAAGUAAUAUAUAUCCAUAGCAAAAACUGUGAGGAUACCAAAAGGAUGAUACACAUCUGUUUCUUAGCAAAUGUCUGUGAUAUAUUAAAUUUUAAAAAGAGAUGCUACAUAUAGUGUGGUCCACUUAAAUAUAACUGUAUAGGGGUAAUGAUAUUACCUCCCUCAUAAAGAUGUUGUGAGGAGUAAGUGAGUGUAUCCACAUAAAAUGCAUAGAAUAUGUGACAUAGUCAACACCUAAGAAAUAUUAUCCUAUCUCUUGUGUAUAUGUACAUAGAAAAAAGUUGUAAUGACAUAAACCAAAAUGCUAAUUUAUUAUUUCUGAGUAGUAGGAUUAUUAUACUUUCUUAAUAGUUUCAUGCAGAAAAUUUAUGGUUAUUUUAUAUUUAGUUAUAAGAAAAAUAAAGCUAUUAAAAUUAAAUUUAGAAGAUGUUUCUUGUUCAUGUCAGCUACUUUGCCACAUACUGAAUUCCUGUUCCUCUCUGUUCCAGGAGUGACCCCCUGUUUAAGAUCCUUUCUGUAGGCCUGAAAUUCCCUUGACAUUCACCAUGUAACUGAUGAUUUUUCCUAUUAUAUGGGAAACAAAUGGGAUUGUGAUUUUUCAUCCACAUUCUGUACUCUUAAGUUCCAUACCAACUUUUCUCAAGCCAAUUUUUUGCAAGAUUCCUGUGAAGUCUUUAUCUAAAAAUUGUGCUACCUUGCUGAUUAAUUAAUUGUGCUACUUUUGCUGCUACCAAAAUUCAGAUGGACUUGUCAGUUAAACCUACCUCCCACACAGUUGUACAGUAAUCAGCAGUGCUCACUCAUUUCUGCCCCCAGAGAGGUUAGAGGAGCCAGAAGUUCUGCCCCCAUCUGAACCAGUAGCCUGAUAAAAGGUAAGAAUAAGAAUGUUCUAGGUUUGUUUCUCCCAAAAUUAUGAGUGGCAGCAACGAUUUUACUUUUCCAAGAAUUUCUAUCAUAAACAGAAAUGUAAGACAUGCUAAAAUCAACAUAGGGGGGCAGUAGUGUCACUCUUUUUGACUUGUGUUUGAAACUUCUGGGAUUUGUGCAUCCCUCUUUAUCAUAAAAGAUCUCAAAUAAGGUCUGACUUGGAAAAGAAACAAGUUGAUAGUGAUGAGGAAAGAUGUAUAAAAUGGAGAUUCAGAACCCUAACAGAGUUUAAUUUUGACCUCUGGAACUCAUUUCUGGAAGUUUGGUAGAUUGUGGGGGGUCUGUAUUUAAAGUGUAGGUUGUCACAGAUGAUAUAUAUCUUGUAUGUAGAAAAUCUUAAGGAAUCUACUAAACUAUCAGCACUAAUAAAUGAAUUCUGUAAGGUUGCAGGAUACAGGAUCAGUCUGCAAAAACUGAUUAUAUUUGUGUGCAUUUGCAAUGAAUAAUCCAAAAAUGAAAUUAAGUAAACAAUUCCAUUUACAAUAGCAUGAAGGAUUAUAAAAUACUUAGGAAAAAUUGUGAGAAAAGAAACACAAAAUGUAUCCUCUGAACACUAUAAAAUGGUUAAAAUAAACUAAGGAAUACUUAAAUAAAUGGAAAAAUAUCCCUAUGUUUAUGGCCUGAAAAAAUUAAUUGUAAGAUGGCAAUACUCCCCAAAUUGAUUUACAGAGUUGAUGCAAUUCCUACCAGAAUCCCACCUGACUUCUUUAUAGAAACUGAGAAGCUGAUUCUAAAAUUCAUACAGAAUUACAACAGAUCCAGAAUAGCCAAAACAAUCUUUGAAAAGAAGUAGAAGAACUUAUACACCCUGAUUUUAAAAUUCAUCAUAAAGCAAUGCUAAUCAAUGUAAUGUGGUACUGGCAUAGGACAGACCUAUAGAUCAAUGAAAGGGAAAGUUCAGAAACAAAACCAUGUCAACUGAUUUUUACCAAGGGUUCCAAGGCUAUUCAAUGGAAAAGAAUAGCUUCUUCAACAAAUGGUGCUUGGGCAACUGGACAGUCACAUGCAAAAAGAUGGAAGUUUAACUUUCAGCUCACACCAUACAUCAAAAUUAAUUCAAAUGGAUCAAAGACUUAAAAGAACUAUGAAAACUAUACAACUGUUAGAAGAAAACAGGGAUAAAUCUUCAUGAUCUCAGAUUCGGCAAUGGAUUGUUAGAUAUGACACUAAAAACACAAGCAACAAAAGAAACAUAUAUUGACUUCAA
RNA transcript from Panthera uncia (snow leopard), 13093 nucleotides. It is a transcript of the gene named RNA binding motif protein 12B, with no coding region annotated. NCBI's taxonomy places the organism in Eukaryota, Metazoa, Chordata, Mammalia, Carnivora, Felidae. The record is from RefSeq and is a predicted model, not a curated record. The transcript has 2 exons.